RNAcentral lists this long non-coding RNA (1574 nucleotides) under Aquilegia coerulea. Its description in RNAcentral is "long non-coding RNA (ACOE_LNC001399)". The record is from RNAcentral. Lineage: Eukaryota; Viridiplantae; Streptophyta; Magnoliopsida; Ranunculales; Ranunculaceae.
CCUAAUUCGUUUUCUAAUUUCUUUCUUCUGAGUAAUUUAUAUCUUUCAAACCUACCGAUCUCAUUCUCUACAGCGUUUUCAGAAACUCUAUUGAAUUGAACCUAAAACACUAUCAACUAUAUCUCUGAAUGAAUUUGAAGGUACACUUUCAUUCAAAUCAAAUCUUGUUUUUUUUUUUUUUUUUUCUUGAUUGAUUCUUUAAUUACUUUAUAUCUUUGAUCGAUUUUAACUACUUCAAAUUGAGAUUUUUGAUCAAUUCUUUAAUCUUUGAUAUAACUACUUCAAUCUUUGAUAGAUUCUUUCAUCUAUCUAUCUAUAAAGUUUGAAGAUAAUAGUGUUGCUGUCGGAUUCUUGUCUACUGUUUCUCUUUCUUUCACAAAUGAACAUUUUUUUUUGCUUUUUAUAACAACAACAAGAGAAAAUCAAGAGCUAAGGAUUAGGGGUUAUCUUUUUAUUUUUUUUCAUGGAAAAUCAUGUUUUCAAUUAGUAGUUUAAUUAUUUUUUAUUGAUAAUCACUAUUUUGAUUUUAGAGUACUUUGCCUUCACAAAUGUUUGAAGUUGAUAAAUACUGUCAUAGAAGCACAAUGGGGAUUUGGAAGUUAAUAAACAUAUUUCAAUAUAGAGGUUAGAAUAUUGAUGGAAAAACAACAAUGUUCUUAUGUGGUGUUAAUCAAACAGGUGAAAUGUAUGAGCCUUAAAGUUGCCAAAACAGGUGCAUAUCGAAUUGCACAAAUCAACUUGAAUCUUUGCCUAACUGUCGAGUUUUUUUUAUAAAUAUUGUUUUUGGUUAUUGUUGUAGCCUUACAGGUAUCAAAUUACAGUAUUAUAAAUUAUGGUUUCACUAUGAACUAGAGAAGAUUUUAUUCAUCCAUCUUUUCCAAAAUUUGAAUAGUGUCUUUGCGGCAAAAUUCAAUUCUACUGAAUAUGAUAUGCAUGAACACUAUUCUGAUAUGUUCAGAACACAUCAAGUGAGUUGAAUUUGGGUUUGUCCAUUCUCCUGAACAUGCACCAGCACUGAAACUACAAGUUUGAUGAUGUCUAUGUGUGCAUUUUAAUUCAGGGUCGAUAUGUGUACAUUAUCAUAAUUAAUUCUUGUUUCUUUUUUUUGUACCCAUGUAGUUGUUUAUUUGUAUUGUUUUGAAGUGAGAAAAUGAACCAUUACAACUUACAAGCAAAGUUGAGGGGCUUAAAUCAUAUAGGCAGUAAAUACUAAAUACUGUUGUUCUUUUCUGCAGAAAUAAAUUUGACAUAUUUGGGGCCGCUGGAUUGAAGAAAGAAAUAAUGCCAGAACUUCAACAUUCUUUGCAUUAUUAAGUUCAAUGGGCACUGCUUAUAGUUUAGUCUUUUUUGCAGUCUGCCUCUUCCAAUGCGCAAAACAGAUGGUCAUUUUGUAGGGUCCUCUAGUUUGGUGAUCUGUUAGUCCUCUAGUAACGAUGUUUUGUGGUUGUAUUUGGCUGACUUAUGGCUUGUACGUUGUUUAAUUAUUUGCAAUAAUUAAUAGUGCUUUGUAAGACAAAUAAGAUUAAUGUUUAUUUUGGAUAUUUUUGCGAUCAUUUAUCGGUUAACGACAUUAU